RNAcentral lists this unclassified non-coding RNA (352 nucleotides) under soil metagenome. RNAcentral describes it as "partial contains 5.8S ribosomal RNA, internal transcribed spacer 2, and large subunit ribosomal RNA". The stretch from base 1 to 120 matches the Rfam family "5.8S ribosomal RNA", at positions 35 to 154 of the family's 154-position model. The record is from RNAcentral.
GAUGAAGAACGCAGCGAAAUGCGAUAAGUAAUGUGAAUUGCAGAAUUCAGUGAAUCAUCGAAUCUUUGAACGCACAUUGCGCCCGCCAGUAUUCUGGCGGGCAUGCCUGUUCGAGCGUCAUUACAACCCUCAGGCCCCCGGGCCUGGCGUUGGGGAUCGGCGGAGCCCCCCGUGGGCACACGCCGUCCCCCAAAUACAGUGGCGGUCCCGCCGCAGCUUCCAUCGCGUAGUAGCUAACACCUCGCGACUGGAGAGCGGCGCGGCCACGCCGUAAAACACCCAACUCUUCUGAAGUUGACCUCGAAUCAGGUAGGAAUACCCGAUGAACUUAAGCAUAUCAAUAAGCGGAGGA